UAAGGAAUAUUGGUCAAUGGGCGCAAGCCUGAACCAGCCAUGCCGCGUGCAGGAUUAAGGCCCUAUGGGUUGUAAACUGCUUUUGUACGGGAAGAAACAGAGGUUCGUGAACCUCCUUGACGGUACCGUAAGAAUAAGGAUCGGCUAACUCCGUG
This 155-nucleotide ribosomal RNA is filed under the name uncultured bacterium. Its description in RNAcentral is "partial 16S rRNA". It matches the Rfam family "Bacterial small subunit ribosomal RNA", at positions 355 to 507 of the family's 1533-position model. The record is from RNAcentral.